GGCUGCUCGUUAUAAAGAACAGUCUGGCCUGCCCACUGAUAGUAUUAAAGGGCCGCGGUAUCCUGACCGUGCGAAGGUAGCAUAAUAAUUAGUCUUUUAAUUGAAGACCGGAAUGAAAGGUCGGACAAGAAGCAACCUGUCUCAAUUUGAACCGUUCAAAUUAACUUUUAAGUGAAAAGGCUUAAAUACUCUUGUAGGACGACAAGACCCUAUAAAACUUUAUACACUAACUUUACUCUUCAAUCUAUUUGUGAAAAGUCGGGUAACGGAAAGUGUAUUUCGUUGGGGCGACGAAAGUAUAACUAGUAACUGCUUUAUUUAAAUACACUUUUAAGUGAGUUAAUUGAUCCUUAAUAAAGAUUUUAAGAAAAAGUUACUUUAGGGAUAACAGCGUUAUUUUUUUUGAGAGUCCUUAUCGACAAAAAAGCUUGCGACCUCGAUGUUGAAUUAAAAUAACCUAAUGGUGCAGUAGCCACAGAGGUAGGUCUGUUCGACCUUUAAAAUUUUACAUGAUUUGAGUUCAAACCGGUGUAAG
This 535-nucleotide ribosomal RNA is filed under the name Neocallichirus natalensis. Its description in RNAcentral is "partial large subunit ribosomal RNA". It matches the Rfam family "Archaeal large subunit ribosomal RNA", at positions 1908 to 2694 of the family's 2987-position model. The record is from RNAcentral. Lineage: Eukaryota; Metazoa; Arthropoda; Malacostraca; Decapoda; Callianassidae.